RNAcentral lists this ribosomal RNA (355 nucleotides) under uncultured Thalassococcus sp. RNAcentral's name for it is "bacterial SSU rRNA". It matches the Rfam family "Bacterial small subunit ribosomal RNA", at positions 142 to 530 of the family's 1533-position model. Lineage: Bacteria; Pseudomonadati; Pseudomonadota; Alphaproteobacteria; Rhodobacterales; Roseobacteraceae. The record is from RNAcentral.
AAUAGCCACUGGAAACGGUGAGUAAUACCUUAUACGCCCUUCGGGGGAAAGAUUUAUCCGGAGAAGGAUCGGCCCGCGUUAGAUUAGAUAGUUGGUGGGGUAACGGCCUACCAAGUCUACGAUCUAUAGCUGGUUUUAGAGGAUGAUCAGCAACACUGGGACUGAGACACGGCCCAGACUCCUACGGGAGGCAGCAGUGGGGAAUCUUGGACAAUGGGCGCAAGCCUGAUCCAGCCAUGCCGCGUGAGUGAUGAAGGCCUUAGGGUCGUAAAGCUCUUUCGCUGGGGAUGAUAAUGACAGUACCCAGUAAAGAAACCCCGGCUAACUCCGUGCCAGCAGCCGCGGUAAUACGGAG